Molecule: ribosomal RNA, 1322 nt
Filed under: uncultured bacterium
Lineage: Bacteria
Description: bacterial SSU rRNA
Rfam family: Bacterial small subunit ribosomal RNA
Source: RNAcentral
GGCGUGCUUAACACAUGCAAGUCGAACGGUGAACACGGAGCUUGCUCUGUGGGAUCAGUGGCGAACGGGUGAGUAACACGUGAGCAACCUGCCCCUGACUCUGGGAUAAGCGCUGGAAACGGCGUCUAAUACUGGAUAUGUGACGCGACCGCAUGGUCUGUGUCUGGAAAGAAUUUCGGUUGGGGAUGGGCUCGCGGCCUAUCAGCUUGUUGGUGAGGUAAUGGCUCACCAAGGCGUCGACGGGUAGCCGGCCUGAGAGGGUGACCGGCCACACUGGGACUGAGACACGGCCCAGACUCCUACGGGAGGCAGCAGUGGGGAAUAUUGCACAAUGGGCGCAAGCCUGAUGCAGCAACGCCGCGUGAGGGACGACGGCCUUCGGGUUGUAAACCUCUUUUAGCAGGGAAGAAGCGAAAGUGACGGUACCUGCAGAAAAAGCGCCGGCUAACUACGUGCCAGCAGCCGCGGUAAUACGUAGGGCGCAAGCGUUAUCCGGAAUUAUUGGGCGUAAAGAGCUCGUAGGCGGUUUGUCGCGUCUGCUGUGAAAUCCCGAGGCUCAACCUCGGGCCUGCAGUGGGUACGGGCAGACUAGAGUACGGUAGGGGAGAUUGGAAUUCCUGGUGUAGCGGUGGAAUGCGCAGAUAUCAGGAGGAACACCGAUGGCGAAGGCAGAUCUCUGGGCCGUAACUGACGCUGAGGAGCGAAAGGGUGGGGAGCAAACAGGCUUAGAUACCCUGGUAGUCCACCCCGUAAACGUUGGGAACUAGUUGUGGGGUCCAUUCCACGGAUUCCGUGACGCAGCUAACGCAUUAAGUUCCCCGCCUGGGGAGUACGGCCGCAAGGCUAAAACUCAAAGGAAUUGACGGGGACCCGCACAAGCGGCGGAGCAUGCGGAUUAAUUCGAUGCAACGCGAAGAACCUUACCAAGGCUUGACAUAUACGAGAACGGGCCAGAAAUGGUCAACUCUUUGGACACUCGUAAACAGGUGGUGCAUGGUUGUCGUCAGCUCGUGUCGUGAGAUGUUGGGUUAAGUCCCGCAACGAGCGCAACCCUCGUUCUAUGUUGCCAGCACGUAAUGGUGGGAACUCAUGGGAUACUGCCGGGGUCAACUCGGAGGAAGGUGGGGAUGACGUCAAAUCAUCAUGCCCCUUAUGUCUUGGGCUUCACGCAUGCUACAAUGGCCGGUACAAAGGGCUGCAAUACCGCGAGGUGGAGCGAAUCCCAAAAAGCCGGUCCCAGUUCGGAUUGAGGUCUGCAACUCGACCUCAUGAAGUCGGAGUCGCUAGUAAUCGUAGAUCAGCAACGCUGCGGUGAAUACGUU